Molecule: ribosomal RNA, 189 nt
Filed under: uncultured bacterium
Lineage: Bacteria
Description: partial 16S ribosomal RNA
Rfam family: Bacterial small subunit ribosomal RNA
Source: RNAcentral
UUCGCCUUCAUGAAGCUGGAAUUGCUAGUAAUGGCAGGUCAGCAUACUGCCGUGAAUACGUUCCCGGGCCUUGUACACACCGCCCGUCACACCAUGAGAGUUGGAAAUACCCGAAGCCUGUGAGCUAACUUAAAGAGGCAGCAGUCGAAGGUAGAGCCAAUGAUUGGGGUGAAGUCGUAACAAGGUACC